This 400-nucleotide ribosomal RNA is filed under the name uncultured bacterium. Its description in RNAcentral is "bacterial SSU rRNA". It matches the Rfam family "Bacterial small subunit ribosomal RNA", at positions 356 to 773 of the family's 1533-position model. The record is from RNAcentral.
GGGGAAUAUUGCACAAUGGGGGAAACCCUGAUGCAGCGACGCCGCGUGAGUGAAGAAGUAUUUCGGUAUGUAAAGCUCUAUCAGCAGGGAAGAAAAUGACGGUACCUGACUAAGAAGCCCAGGCUAACUACGUGACAGCAGCCGCGGUAAAACGUAGGGGGCAAGCGUUAUCCGGAUUUACUGGGUGUAAAGGGAGCGUAGGUGGUGUGGUAAGUCAGGUGUGAAAGCCCGGGGCUCAACUCCGGGAUUGCACUUGAAACUAUCAUACUAGAGUGCAGGAGAGGUAAGUGGAAUUCCUAGUGUAGCGGUGAAAUGCGUAGAUAUUAGGAGGAACACCAGUGGCGAAGGCGGCUUACUGGACUGUAACUGACACUGAGGCUUGAAAGCGUGGGGAGCAAAC